RNAcentral lists this long non-coding RNA (492 nucleotides) under Nicotiana benthamiana. RNAcentral describes it as "long non-coding RNA (NBEN_LNC040456)". The record is from RNAcentral. Lineage: Eukaryota; Viridiplantae; Streptophyta; Magnoliopsida; Solanales; Solanaceae.
UGCUAUGCAAGAGCUGUUGUUGGGUCUACAAGUGGGUCCCAAAAUAAUAAAUCAAGUGGCAUCUGAUCCGCCAUUAGCUUAUCCACACCUUAGUCACUGACUCCUUUGAAGAUUUUUGCUUCCUUAACUUCUUAUGCUCCGACAAUUUAUCCAAUGCUUUGUUGUGUUCCUCAACCGCCUUAGUCAAGGCAUCCUACAUCGCAUGCAUCUUUUUCUGGUUGGCCAGGAUCUUCUUCGGCGUUUCCUCUAUUGAUGGAGGAAGCUCAACAGCAGCUGGUGCUCUCUGUGUCUGGACUAUAGUGGUCAAGCUGGACAACUUGUAUGUCGCAGGUGACAUCCCGUUGUAAAAACUGGCUAAGGAUUGAGUGAGCUGAUGGGCAGUGAACCGGUGAGUAUUUGAUGAAGGAACAAUCGGGUCCGCUGAAGUAGAUGCACUAGCAACAAAAUAAGGACCCUGGGGAAAUGUCUCACUAGUAGCAGGGAUGGUGGAAG